UUAAGUAUUUGGAUCAUUUAGAAUUUAUUUAAAUACUCGUUUUUUAAAAUAUAUGUAAUCCGAUUUAUUAGAAUAUAUAUAAAUCUGUUCAAUUUAAAAACUAUUAGAUUUAAUCAGUUAAAAUGUAUGAAUAUGAAUUAAAUAAAUCUAGCCGUGAAACAAACCGGAUAAAUUCUAUGAGAUUGAUUUACAUACAAGUGUCAGGAAACUGACUUUAGCAGAAGCGGAAAUGACGUCUAUUCACACUCCAGUCAGGAGGUGGCGCCAAAAUCAAAAACAGACGCUACAGCACAUGGACUUCGCCAUUUUGUAUUGGACUGGAUCGUCAUCUCACUAGUUUACGAUCGCCAAAUUGUAGGUGAGUAAAGUUAACAAGUUUGAUGUGAUUAUCUAAAAUAUAAUUGUCUGUUGUUUAAUUACAUGUGUGACGCGUUGCAUGUUUCAGAGUAAAAUACACCUCACUACACAGAUGUAAGUUGGAAUAUACAGCAUCAUUUCAUCGUCUAUAUGGUGGGACAACCUGCUAGAGAGGUUGAAGACAUCUGUAUCUACCUCAAAGAAGGCGUGGAGAGACACAUUAAAGAAUAUGUGAAUUGUGAAAUUGGUGAGUUGGGGAUUGCACAGACAGUGGAAGUUUUGCAAAACCUACUUGGUGUCACACAUGGGUGUGAAAUUACUUUUUGGACUCAUUUAUGCACUUAAACUGAACUACCAGAAGAACCUCAAGUGCACCUUUGACCUUUCAAAACAUCCUAAUGGAACUGGACUUGAUACAACCAAGCAAUCACUGAAAGAUGCUUUAGUGAAUACCUGACAGACACGCUGAUGCAUCCCCCUCAAAGUGGGUACAUUUUUGUACAUUUACAAGUGAACUUUUUAACAUUAAAGGAAUAUUGCACUUUCAUUAAACAAAAAUACUGAUAAUUUACUGUCUGUCAUCCAAGAUGCUUGUCUUUUUUUGUUCAGUCGAGAAGAAAUUAUGUUUUUUGAGAAAAACAUUCCAGGAUUUUUCUUAAUUUAAUAGACCUUAUUGGACCUCAACAGUUAAGUUUCAAAGCAGCUUUAAAGGGCUCUAAACGAUCCUAACCGAGGCAUAAGGGUUUAAUCAAUCCAAAAGAUUAUCAUUUUUGGCAAGAAAACUUUUAAAACACAACACCUUGUCUUGCAUUAUCCAUGUGACACACAGUGCGACAUUGUGUACUACGUAAUAAAUGUUUACACAUCACAAAUGUGAAACGCACAUUUGUUGACCAUUUUAAAUAAUAAACGGACCCAAAGACAUUAAUUAGUAUCAUUUCGCAUACAACAACAUCUGAACGCUCCUCUUUCUCCUCGCUUGUAAACACUGGAACGGUAGUUUCAGUUAUGUCAUGCUAGUGUGUCACACAGCUAGUGCAAAACGUUGUGAUUUAAAAGUCCUCUUUUAUUUUUAUUUUUGAAAAUGACAAUCGUUUAGCUAGAUAAGACCCUUAUGCCUUAUUUGGGAUAAUUUAGAGCCCUUUUAAAUCUGCAUUGAAACCGUAAACUUGAGGUCGAAUAAAGUCUUAAAUUGAGAAAAAUCCUGGAAUCUUUAACUCAAUCUUUAUUUCUUCUUGACUGAACAAAGAAAAACAUAAACAUAUGGGGUUAGAAAAUUAUCGGGAUUUUUGUUUUAUUAAAUUGGAAUAUUGCUUUAACAAUUUUAAAAGUUGAAAAGUUUUUGAAAAAUGUAAUUGAUGUAUAUCUAACAUGUAAUUAGAGAUGCAUGAAAAUUGUUAAUGGCACACAGCCACUCAAAACACUAAGCCAUGUGCCAUUUUUUUUUCUUACCACCCAAUCAUUCUAAAUUAUUAUUAUUACAUCAUGUCACAGAUUUCUGAAAAUGUUAAAGUAAUGUUGUUGUCACUGAUUUAUGUCUACCUCGAGUUUUACAGGGUUUUUUUGUAUUUCUGCAGCCUGUUUGCUCAAAAUGUUUGCACUUAUUUGUGGAAUGAGGUUGAUUGUGGCUGAAAUGUCUGAAACACACUUAUUUAUUUAUUUUUGCACACAAUACGAGGUGUAUAAGCCAUGGCUGUCAUGCUAGUUGUUAGCUGCUCUUUUUUGCUGCCUUAUGAGUAAUGCCUUGAAGUAUUAAAUAAAUAUAUUGAAUGCAAAACCAAGUGGUCUGGCUCUUCUUCUUUUUUGUGUUUUUUUGUUAUAGCAUAUUGUGAUUUAGGGUGAAUGGAGGAGGAAUAUAUAAAUGUAUAAAUGGUUUAUUAGUAAGAUACUUAAAUGUAAUGCAUUUUAAGUGAAUUGGGUUUAUUAAUAAAGAAUACAUAAUCCAUUUUUUUUAAUGCAUUUAAAACACAUUGGAUUAAGUAAAACUAUUACAUAAAUUUUACUGGUUUCAUUUACAUAUAUCU
This is a non-coding RNA of Paramisgurnus dabryanus, 2381 nucleotides long. NCBI's taxonomy places the organism in Eukaryota, Metazoa, Chordata, Actinopteri, Cypriniformes, Cobitidae. The record is from RefSeq and is a predicted model, not a curated record.